RNAcentral lists this ribosomal RNA (500 nucleotides) under uncultured bacterium. RNAcentral describes it as "partial 16S ribosomal RNA". It matches the Rfam family "Bacterial small subunit ribosomal RNA", at positions 28 to 507 of the family's 1533-position model. The record is from RNAcentral.
GACGAACGCUGGCGGCGUGCUUAACACAUGCAAGUCGAACGGGUCUGCCCUGUUUUUUGCGGGGUGGGUCAGUGGCGAACGGGUGAGUAACACGUGAGUAACCUGCCCCUCACUUCUGGAUAACCGCUUGAAAGGGUGGCUAAUACGGGGUGUUCUGGCUGUGCCGCAUGGUGUGGCUGGGAAAGAUUCACUUUUGUGGUGUUUUGGUGGGUGAUGGGCUCGCGGCCUAUCAGCUUGUUGGUGGGGUGAUGGCCUGCCAAGGCUUUGACGGGUAGCCGGCCUGAGAAGGUGGGCGGUCACACUGGGAAUGAGAUACGGCACAGACUCCUGAGGGAGGAAGCAGUGGGGGGUAUUGCACAAUGGGCGGAAGCCUGAUGCAGGGACGGCGCGUGAGGGAGGGAGGCCUUCGGGUUGUGAACCUCUUUCGCCGGUGAAGAAGGUCCUGCUCUUUGUGGUGGGGUUGACGGUAGCCGGGUUAUGAAGCGCCGGCUAACUACGUG